Molecule: ribosomal RNA, 800 nt
Filed under: Halomonas sp.
Lineage: Bacteria; Pseudomonadati; Pseudomonadota; Gammaproteobacteria; Oceanospirillales; Halomonadaceae
Description: bacterial SSU rRNA
Rfam family: Bacterial small subunit ribosomal RNA
Source: RNAcentral
ACACAUGCAGUCGAGCGGUAACAGAUCCAGCUUGCUGGAUGCUGACGAGCGGCGGACGGGUGAGUAAUGCAUAGGAAUCUGCCCGAUAGUGGGGGAUAACCUGGGGAAACCCAGGCUAAUACCGCAUACGUCCUACGGGAGAAAGGGGGCUCCGGCUCCCGCUAUGGGAUGAGCCUAUGUCGGAUUAGCUAGUUGGUGAGGUAACGGCUCACCAAGGCCACGAUCCGUAGCUGGUCUGAGAGGAUGAUCAGCCACAUCGGGACUGAGACACGGCCCGAACUCCUACGGGAGGCAGCAGUGGGGAAUAUUGGACAAUGGGGGCAACCCUGAUCCAGCCAUGCCGCGUGUGUGAAGAAGGCCCUCGGGUUGUAAAGCACUUUCAGCGAGGAAGAACGCCUAGCGGUUAAUACCCGCUAGGAAAGACAUCACUCGCAGAAGAAGCACCGGCUAACUCCGUGCCAGCAGCCGCGGUAAUACGGAGGGUGCAAGCGUUAAUCGGAAUUACUGGGCGUAAAGCGCGCGUAGGUGGCUUGAUAAGCCGGUUGUGAAAGCCCCGGGCUCAACCUGGGAACGGCAUCCGGAACUGUCAAGCUAGAGUGCAGGAGAGGAAGGUAGAAUUCCCGGUGUAGCGGUGAAAUGCGUAGAGAUCGGGAGGAAUACCAGUGGCGAAGGCGGCCUUCUGGACUGACACUGACACUGAGGUGCGAAAGCGUGGGUAGCAAACAGGAUUAGAUACCCUGGUAGUCCACGCCGUAAACGAUGUCGACCAGCCGUUGGGUGCCUAGCGCACUUUGUGGCGA